RNAcentral lists this transfer RNA (87 nucleotides) under Bacteroidota bacterium. RNAcentral's name for it is "Bacteroidetes bacterium (hot springs metagenome) tRNA-Leu". It matches the Rfam family "tRNA". Rfam says of the family: Transfer RNA (tRNA) molecules are approximately 80 nucleotides in length. Their secondary structure includes four short double-helical elements and three loops (D, anti-codon, and T loops). Further hydrogen bonds mediate the characteristic L-shaped molecular structure. tRNAs have two regions of fundamental functional importance: the anti-codon, which is responsible for specific mRNA codon recognition, and the 3' end, to which the tRNAs corresponding amino acid is attached (by aminoacyl-tRNA synthetases). tRNAs cope with the degeneracy of the genetic code in two manners: having more than one tRNA (with a specific anti-codon) for a particular amino acid; and 'wobble' base-pairing, i.e. permitting non-standard base-pairing at the 3rd anti-codon position. Lineage: Bacteria; Pseudomonadati; Bacteroidota. The record is from RNAcentral.
GCCCAGGUGGUGGAAUUGGUAGACACGCUACUUUGAGGGGGUAGUGGGGGCAACCCCGUGUGAGUUCGAGUCUCGUCCUGGGCACCC